Molecule: ribosomal RNA, 468 nt
Filed under: uncultured bacterium
Lineage: Bacteria
Description: partial 16S ribosomal RNA
Rfam family: Bacterial small subunit ribosomal RNA
Source: RNAcentral
GACGAACGCUGGCGGCGUGCUUAACACAUGCAAGUCGGACGGACAGGCCCUGCUUUUGUGGGGUGCUCGAGUGGCGAACGGGUGAGUAACACGUGAGUAACCUGCCCUUGACUUUGGGAUAACUUCAGGAAACUGGGGCUAAUACCGGAUCGGAGCUCCUGCUGCAUGGUGGGGGUUGGAAAGUUUCGGCGGUUGGGGAUGGACUCGCGGCUUAUCAGCUUGUUGGUGGGGUAGUGGCUUACCAAGGCUUUGACGGGUAGCCGGCCUGAGAGGGUGACCGGCCACAUUGGGACUGAGAUACGGCCCAGACUCCUACGGGAGGCAGCAGUGGGGAAUAUUGCACAAUGGGCGGAAGCCUGAUGCAGCAACGCCGCGUGCGGGAUGACGGCCUUCGGGUUGUAAACCGCUUUCGCCUGUGACGAAGCGUGAGUGACGGUAAUGGGUAAAGAAGCACCGGCUAACUACGUG